RNAcentral lists this ribosomal RNA (253 nucleotides) under uncultured bacterium. Its description in RNAcentral is "partial 16S ribosomal RNA". It matches the Rfam family "Bacterial small subunit ribosomal RNA", at positions 524 to 776 of the family's 1533-position model. The record is from RNAcentral.
UACAGAGGUCUCAAGCGUUGUUCGGAUUCAUUGGGCGUAAAGGGUGCGUAGGUGGCGGGGUAAGUCUGGUGUGAAAUCUCGGGGCUCAACCCCGAAACUGCACUGGAUACUGCCUUGCUAGAGUACUGGAGAGGAGAUUGGAGUUUACGGUGUAGCAGUGAAAUGCGUAGAUAUCGUAAGGAAGACCAGUGGCGAAGGCGAAUCUCUGGACAGUUACUGACACUGAGGCACGAAGGCCAGGGGAGCAAACGGG